This is a non-coding RNA of Pelobates cultripes (western spadefoot toad), 518 nucleotides long. NCBI's taxonomy places the organism in Eukaryota, Metazoa, Chordata, Amphibia, Anura, Pelobatidae. The record is from the annotation of a GenBank genome assembly.
CCUAUACAUGUAUUACAUCGCAGUCUGAUAUUACACGUGGCACACACCAUCUAACUUCACUCUGGAGCUGGAUAGAGUCAUAUAUACAUAUAGAUUUCUAUGGUCUCUGCCCGGAUCAUAUAGGGGAUUAGUAACCGUUAGGACCUCAGGAUCUCCUGCCCAAAUCAUUUAAACUAGUUUUAUAACUCAGUGAAAGGAUUCUUCAAAUAAAUCACACAUUUAGAUUUGAAAUAUCUAUUUUAUUUAUAAGGUCAAUAUUUUUAUCACAAGUAAUUAGUAUUUUUGAGCAGGAUUGUAGGUUUUUCAUUAUAUCCAGGAUAUGCUAUGUCACAUGGUAACUCCAAUUACUAUUCCACACUGCCUCCUCCUUUACCCCGAUCUCCCACGCGCUGCCUCCUCCUUUACCCCGAUAUCCCAAGUGCUGCCUUCUCCCGCACCCCGCCAUCCCAUGCGCUACCUUUUCACGCAUCCCACUAUGCCACACUGCCUCCUCCCACACCCCGCCAUCCCACACUGCC